CAAUAGCGUAUAUUAAGGUUGUUGCAGUUAAAAAGCUCGUAGUUGGAUUUGUGGCGUACGGUGGGUUCCGGGCACUUGUUGUCUGAGUAACUUGCUGUUGCCAUCCUUGGGUGGAACCUGUGUGGCAUUAGGUUGUCGUGCAGGGGAUGCCCAUCAUUUACUGUGAAAAAAUUAGAGUGUUCAAAGCAGGCUUAUGCCGUUGAAUAUAUUAGCAUGGAAUAAUGAGAUAGGACUUUUUUGCUAUUUUGUUGGUUUGCGCAAAGAGGUAAUGAUUAAUAGGGACAGUUGGGGGUAUUCGUAUUCCAUUGUCAGAGGUGAAAUUCUUGGAUUUUUGGAAGACGAACUACUGCGAAAGCAUUUACCAAGGAUGUUUUCAUUAA
This 380-nucleotide ribosomal RNA is filed under the name uncultured eukaryote. RNAcentral's name for it is "partial 18S ribosomal RNA". It matches the Rfam family "Eukaryotic small subunit ribosomal RNA", at positions 592 to 976 of the family's 1831-position model. The record is from RNAcentral.